UGCUCAAUGAUUCAACCAUGUUAAUCAUGGUAAUAUACGCUAUUCUGAGCCACAUGAGGAUGUCAUAAGCUUUAUGAGAGCA
RNAcentral lists this small nucleolar RNA (82 nucleotides) under Dichanthelium oligosanthes. RNAcentral describes it as "Small nucleolar RNA U54". It matches the Rfam family "Small nucleolar RNA U54". Rfam says of the family: U54 is a C/D box small nucleolar RNA, which acts as a methylation guide for 18S ribosomal RNA in plants. The record is from Rfam by way of RNAcentral. Lineage: Eukaryota; Viridiplantae; Streptophyta; Magnoliopsida; Poales; Poaceae.